Brachypodium distachyon (stiff brome) is the source of this 125-nucleotide non-coding RNA. Lineage: Eukaryota; Viridiplantae; Streptophyta; Magnoliopsida; Poales; Poaceae. The record is from Rfam.
CUUAUACUCCCUCCGUCCCAUAUUAAGUGACUCAAAUUUGCCCAAAUAUGAAUGUAUCUGUACCCAAAAAGCGUCUAGAUACAUGUAAUAUUUCGUCACUUAAUAUGGGACGGAGGAAGUAUUAG